Molecule: long non-coding RNA, 380 nt
Organism: Daphnia magna
Lineage: Eukaryota; Metazoa; Arthropoda; Branchiopoda; Diplostraca; Daphniidae
Exons: 2
Source: RefSeq, a predicted model, not a curated record
UAACAAUUCACAUGUUUUUCAAAAGUGUGAUGCAUAUUCUAAUACUUGUUUAUCGUGUGUUGCCUUAAUGUAGCCACUGUUGCUUUUACUGUUAGGUAAAGGACCAGACUUUUGAUUCCUUCAAUAAGAGAUAAGAUUGCUAUUGUCCCAACAUUCAGGAACAACAGUUGUUGCUAUGAGCCACCAUAAUGCGAGUUACCACACUAUUGUAUUUCCAUUUUAUAAUGGUCAUUGUGACGGUUUCACAGCUUGCAGUUUCAUGAAGAGUUACUGUCUACGAUAACAUUAAAUCAAAAGAUUUGAAAGGUGUUACGGAGUUCUAUUUUUGCAGUUUCAUGACCUUUCUUUUCUUCGGUUUGUUGUAUACAAUUGGUUUUUUU